Molecule: long non-coding RNA, 4826 nt
Filed under: Sus scrofa (pig)
Lineage: Eukaryota; Metazoa; Chordata; Mammalia; Artiodactyla; Suidae
Description: lncRNA (ENSSSCG00000060473.1)
Source: RNAcentral
UUUGUUUUGUUUUGCUUUUUUUAGGGCUGUACACAUGGCAUAUGGAAGUUCCCAAGCUAGGGGUCUAUUGGACCUGCAUCUUCUGGCCUGUGCCACAGCCACAGCCACACCAGAUCUGAGCCCCAUCUGCGACCUAUACCACAGUUCACAGAAACGCCAGAUCCUUUAGCCUUCUGAGGGGGGCCAGGGAUCGAACCCUCAUCCUUAUGGAUACUAGUUGGGUUCAUUUACAGUGAGCAACAAUGGGAACUCCAAAUUUAUGUAUAUUUUUGAUACCUACUAGUGAGCAACCCUCCAAAUGAACAAUUCUCAUAAAUUAACAUAUAAGUGCUAUUUUCCAUUGUUGAAAUCAGACCUGUUUUUCUUUAACUGUCUUGUAUUCGUAAAUGUGAAUUAAGUUAAUGAUUAGGAUUCAAUGAGUAAAGGCUGAGUGGUUGGGUUGCUGAAUGAUGGGUUAUGCCGCCUUCUCUCAUGGUCACUGUGAACAAGUGAUAUACACAGUAACAUGCAGCGAAGCAUAUGGGCUCCACUAUGAUAUCACAGCUAUGCAUCAUAUUGACCUUUUUUGACACACAUUAUUUUGAUGCCUGAGGACUUAAUAGAGGGUAGACAUAAGCUAUUUUUUUCAAUUAGCUUUUUGAUAGUCUCAUUUGAAAUGAACUAACAUUGUCAAAGUUAUGGCAAGUCAACCCAUUACCUGACUGUUCCAGAUAAUAAAAGGAUUUCAGAAAGUUAAAUGUCCCAAGGUAGAGCUGGUGUUCAACAAGCUUAUUUGAUAAGAACUAUUGAAACACUGAAUGUAUAAUGAAUUUGAAACAUGGAAAAUCACCUUUAAUUGACUGACAGCCUCUGAAGUAAACCAACAUUUCUGUUAUCUCCUGAGCCUAAUCUUUUGACUUAGUUACCCUGCCAAAGUUGUAAGUGCUUGCUGCUGUUCAUGAUGACUAAAUCUCUCCUUAAUCCUCGGGGGCCUUCCUUUUACUCUGAUAGUGAAGGACCUUGGCAGUCUCACUAAAUGGCUCUUUUCAAGAUUCAUCUGCUUUUCCCUCCUCCACAGAUCCUUUGCUCCCACGUUGGUGAUCCCACUGUCUCAGCUUCACUUUGAAGCCAUUCCUAAUAAUAUUUCCAAUGGAUCUGUCUGUAGGUGGAUUCCCCUUCUCAUAUAUAAAUGUAUAAACCUGUAGUUCAAGGUGUAUCUAAUUGAGGCCUCCUCCAUGGUGCCUUGCCUGCUCACCAGCAGGAAGCAAUUUCUUCAUUCUCUGAAAUCUCAGCACAUGUUUAUGUGUGAGCAUCAUCUAUUUGACAGCUGAUCAAAUGCAUUAUUACUUUGUAAUGGUAAUUCUCUCUCCAUGCACAAAUAUGUGUGUAUUCUUGUAUGUGUAAACUCCUGGAAGACAUUUAUAGUUCCUUGUUAGCAGGGGCUAUCUUGUAUUCAUACAAUUCAUCUUCAUAGGGUUUUGAAUAUUUUUUAUCUUUGCAAUUCAUCUUCAUAGUUUUUGAAUAUGUUUAAGCUUUGCAACAUGGCUUUGCAAUUUAAGUAGUUGUUGUCUGCACUUAACUUAUUCCAAACGCAUUGUUCCUCUUUACUUUUGCUGUCUCUUGGGGGGCUGAGGAAGAGGCUGUGUUUCACAUCACAUUUGGCCCUUUCUGACUUUGAUCCAUCCAGGGUGGGGCUCCAUUCAUUCAGAAAGUUUCCUAUAGCCUUUAAACAAUAGAAGAUGGCUGACACCAUUCUCGUCAUGUUUUGCAUGAUAUUGCUUGUCAUUCCUUGAAAAAUAUUUAAAUGGGAGAACACCUGGCAGCCUAAAGUUGGUUAGCUAUUUAGAGGGAUUAAAAGAUAAGAAAGAAAGAAAGGCGGACAGACAGACACGUGGUGGCUGUUCCUGCCAGGGAUUGCUACAGAGAAAAUGAAGUUAGUGGAUUAUCCAACAGCUGGAGAAUCUGCUAACCUUCCAGCUCUAAUGAGUGAUGCAGUCUCCAGUAUACACAGCUCCUCUCACAUCUGUCAGCACUCUGGGUUUUCAAAGCAUUUUCCCAUGAUCUCAGAUUCCCUCACUGCAGCCUUAUGAGUAGGAAGAAAGCAGAAAUUGUCCCAAUUUUUAUAUUAUCUCUAUCAAACAAUGUUUUCCGUUUCUAAAAUCUCUUCUCUCAUCAGAAAUGGGGCUUUUUUCCCCUUUGAAACCUUGCCUUGUGAAGUCCUGUAAGUCAGAAAUACACCCAUUGUGGCUCCUGAAAGCCUUCAACUGAUUGGCUUGCCUCUCAGACCCUCUCCUGCUGUGUGCUUCUUUUCAACAACAAAUAAGUGUCAGACAAUUAGAGAUGGGACUGGAGAUGUGUAAAUUGUACUGUCGCCUCAACAAAUUAGUAAUUUCGUGAUAAUACACUGUCCUUGUAAUGUGGUUAGAGUUACCAGAGUUACCUGCCUCGAUUUGUGCUCAAAGGCCAUGGGUAAGAUUGAUGAAGAUCCUGUGUGGUGAUUCAUUUUCCUUCUUGAUACUCUCCCCUCCUCAUCCAAGAAAUGAGACGUUAACCUGCCUCUGGGAGCUGAACAGAGUUUCUCCCUGGCCUCCGGUGCUAAAGGCACCCUCUUUACAUUCCUGGCUGGACGGUAUUGCACUGCCUGUGUUGAAAGGGUGAGAGAGCGAAGGGGUGAUGCAGUGAAGGGAACACAAGUUUCAUGCCUCUUGCUCCAGCUUUCUUUUAUUCGGCCGUAGGGUCCUUAAUGAGAGUCAGUUCAAAACAUCUCAGAGCUACUGCUUUACCUUGAAAGCUUACCGAUAGAAACGGUCAGUAUCUUGGACUUUGUCCUUCCUUCAUACGUAGACAUGGGGAUGAUUCUUCCACCGAGUUGAUGGUUCUCAGCCUUGACCUUUCCACAGAGGAAUCUGUGCAUUUUUGUAAGUCUCACUACCUCUCUGGCUGGUUUUCUGAAGAGGGAGAGAACAGAAGUGGAACCAUUUGCCCUGGAACAUCCCAGUUAAACUGCACAUACUAGCCUGUUACACUUUACUAAUGAGCUAGUGUUAGGAGUGGGGUUUAGUUAGUUGCAAGGUCAUCGACAAAUUAUUUGUUACCCAGGUAUAAUCUCCUAGACCUUUAUGAUAAGGCUGCAUACCAUAACCAUCAGAAAUCUACCACAAAUUGAUUCCAUUACAGUCCCCUAAGAACAGUUAAGGUUCAGGCAUAGCCAAGGGGAUUUUAAACAGGAAGGGAGAGGGAAACUUAACUUUUAAAAUAUUAAGAUAUUAGGUAAUUUUAGUAAUAAAAGCACUGUGGUUGUCGUGUAGAGGGAACCAGUACCCAUGCAGAGAGGAAAAGAGCAUGAAGAGACUGACUUAGGCAUCUGUGGGGAAAUGGAAUAUGAUUGGCGUAGUGACAGGUCAGGGGGAAGUGAAUUGAUGGCCAAAGAACAGUAAGAGCUGACUAAAUAGACCACAUGCUGAAUUUUAAACUCAUGGCAGAUAUCAGAAAUAAAAGAGAACUAUCUAGAUGCCAGAAAUGAAGAAGGAACUCAAAUCUAAGGAGAUUAGAUGCUGGUACCACAGAGGUCAAUGGAUGCCCUAUUAGGGAUGAAGGCCUAUCCUUGGGUGGGUGUCAAAGCUCCCUCUGAAGGGGAAGUUGAAGUGAGGCUCACUACAUAAAUUUUAGUAGUGGCCAUUGGCCUUUGAACAUAUCAUACAAUCAGGCCAUGUGCCUGAGGCCAAGAGAGGAAAAUAAGUCACUUUUGUUACAAAUACAAUUUAUUAUCUCCCUGGAGUCAAAUUUUGAAACUGAUGCACAACAAUGAAUCCACAACCCUGGACAAGCAUCAUAUUCUCUAGCAAGAUAUUUCCCAGUAGAGAGAAGGUCACAAACAAAAAUUAUAAAAACAUGAGCGAGCCCACUGUUAUGGGCAAAAAUAAUAGAGUCGAUGAACAGGGAAAUUUAUAAGCAAGGACCAGAUAUAAAAGGACAUGAAAAGGAAAAUUAAAAAUUAUAUGUCUAAUUUUUAUUGAGAUGAAGAGGAGUCUGUUAACAGGAAUAGGAUAUGAAAACACAGGCAUAUUUUUUAAAAAUUCAAGUGAUACGAAGUCUACCCAUUGAUCCCUGUGUUUGUGAGUCUGUGUUUUGUAGAUAGGUUCAGUUGUGCCAUAUUUCAGAUUCCAUGUGUAAGUGAUAUCACAUGGUAUUCACCUUUCUGAUUUACUUCACUUAGUUUAAGAAUCUCUAGUUGCAUCCAUAUUGCUGCAGAUGCCAUUAUUUCAUUAUUUUUUAUGGCUGAGUAGUUGUCAUUUGUGUUUAUGGGAUGGAUGGGGAGUUUGGGGUUAGUAGAUGCAAACUAUUAUAUUUAAAAUGAGGUGCUGCUCUAAAGCACACGUAACUGUAUCCAAUCUUGGGAUAGAACAUGAUGGAAGAUCAUGUGAGAAAAAGAAUGUAUAUAUAAAUACAUAUAGACAUAUGAAUAUAUAUGACUGGAUCACUCUAUGUACAGCAGAAAUUGACACAACAUUGUAAAUCAGCUAUACCUUACUAAAAAAGUAAAUAUAAAAUUAAAAGGAGCAACUAAAUAAGUAAAAUUUGCGACCCCUCCCAGAAGAAAAUAAAGGUAUCUAUCCAUUGAAAUUAAAACAGAUAACAACUCUAUACGGGUUAAAUGGGAAAAAGUUCACAGUUGAACAGAAAGUGAAUAAGAUCUGAGAAAAUCCUCAACAAUGUGACCCCAAAAAUGAAGAGAUGGAGGGACUGAGAAGGACAUCAAAGGUAUAGCGGAUGAUCUAGGAAACUCUAAAAAUAUUUCUAGUGGUUAAAAAAAAAAGUUAAGUGAAGAAAUAUUUGAAGAGAUAAUG